RNAcentral lists this ribosomal RNA (418 nucleotides) under Acanthamoeba sp. Its description in RNAcentral is "SSU rRNA". It matches the Rfam family "Eukaryotic small subunit ribosomal RNA", at positions 788 to 1107 of the family's 1831-position model. The record is from RNAcentral. Lineage: Eukaryota; Discosea; Longamoebia; Acanthamoebidae.
GGAWCCAAUUUUCUGCCACCGAAUACAUUAGCAUGGGAUAAUGGAAUAGGACCCUGUCCUCAAUUUUCAGUUGGUUUUGGCAGCGCGAGGACUAGGGUAAUGAUUAAWAGGGAUAGUUGGGGGCAUUAAUAUUUAAUUGUCAGAGGUGAAAUUCUUGGAUUUAUGAAAGAUUAACUUCUGCGAAAGCWUCUGCCAAGGAUGUUUUCAUUAAUCAAGAACGAAAGUUAGGGGAUCGAAGACGAUCAGAUACCGUCGUAGUCUUAACCAUAAACGAUGCCGACCAGCGAUUAGGAGACGUUGAAUACAAAACACCACCAUCGGUGCGGUCAUCCUUGGCGYKGUKCUUGCMAAAAGCCAGCGCGGGGGGGGGGUUAUCGCCGGGGCSCCGGGGAAUGACUCCCCUAGAAGCGUGUGUGAG